This 478-nucleotide ribosomal RNA is filed under the name uncultured bacterium. RNAcentral's name for it is "partial 16S ribosomal RNA". It matches the Rfam family "Bacterial small subunit ribosomal RNA", at positions 28 to 507 of the family's 1533-position model. The record is from RNAcentral.
GAUGAACGCUGGCGGCGUGCUUAACACAUGCAAGUCGAACGAGAAAUGUAGACGGAAACCUUCGGGCGGAAGCCUUCAUUUCGAGUGGCGGACGGGUGAGUAACGCGUGGGUAACCUGCCUCAUACAGGGGGAUAACAGUUGGAAACGACUGUUAAUACCGCAUAAGACCACAGCAUCGCAUGAUGCGGGGGUAAAAACUCCGGUGGUAUGAGAUGGACCCGCGUUCGAUUAGCCAGUUGGCGGGGUAACGGCCCACCAAAGCGACGAUCGAUAGCCGAUCUGAGAGGAGGACCGGCCACAUUGGGACUGAGACACGGCCCAAACUCCUACGGGAGGCAGCAGUGGGGAAUAUUGCACAAUGGGGGAAACCCUGAUGCAGCGACGCCGCGUGAGUGAAGAAGUACUUCGGUAUGUAAAGCUCUAUCAGCAGGGAAGAAAAUGACGGUACCUGAGGAAGAAGCCCCGGCUAACUACGUG